GACAGAGGUCCCGAGCGUUGUUCGGAUUCAUUGGGCGUAAAGGGUGUGUAGGAGGUCGGGUAAGUCAGGUGUGAAAUCUCAGAGCUUAACUCUGAAACUGCGCUUGAUACUGCUCGGCUAGAGGAUCGGAGGGGGUAACGGAAUUUAUGGUGUAGCGGUGAAAUGCGUAGAUAUCUGGAGGAACACCGGUGGCGAAGGCGGCAUCCUGGACCAAUUCUGACGCUGAGUGAGCGAAAGCCAGGGGAGCAAACGGG
Molecule: ribosomal RNA, 254 nt
Filed under: uncultured bacterium
Lineage: Bacteria
Description: partial 16S ribosomal RNA
Rfam family: Bacterial small subunit ribosomal RNA
Source: RNAcentral